Mytilus californianus (California mussel) is the source of this 4380-nucleotide long non-coding RNA. RefSeq lists it as uncharacterized. Lineage: Eukaryota; Metazoa; Mollusca; Bivalvia; Mytilida; Mytilidae. The record is from RefSeq and is a predicted model, not a curated record. The transcript has 2 exons.
UUUAUUAAUGUAUAUAUUACAUUACAUUGUGUAGAUAAAAAUUGUUGACAUUUUAUAGAUAAGUUACAAAUCUAUAUUAGUUUGUGAAAAAUAAAAGAAAAAAUAUUUGGAACUACAUGUAUUAAUUAUAUUUGAUUAUAAUUUGAAAAUAGAUAUACACUGUAUUACAUCAUAUCUAAUUUUAGAGAACUAUUAAUCAUAUCUAAUGUUAAAGUGCUUUCCACACUUUUUUUCAUCAUGCUUGAAGAUAUUGAUUGAUAAUUGGUAUAUAGUUUUUUAAUGACAAGUUAUACAGAUCAAGUUCGAAAUUUUGUUUCGGUUUGAUAAUUUUGUGCAGAGUUAUGGUCCUUGGACUUGAAAAAUUCACUCAUUUAAUCAGUUUUCCACACUGUUUUAGUCAUGCUUGAAGAUAUUGACUUGAUAUUUUCUUUUUGUUUACACCAUGACAAGUUAUAGAACAAGUUAGCUUUUUGUUCCAGUAUAAUGAAUUUUUACCCGGUAGGGGACUAUGUAUUGCCAUGCAAUACUCUCAGAAUGCUUGUUGAAACAGUUUCUCAUCAGUGUUCCGACAUCAUGCGCAGAUUUGUAUGUAAUAAGUAUCCUGAGUCUGUACAGAAGAAAUUAGCAGUCAUAUUCAAGUUUUUGUCAACAAAUCAUUCUUUGUCAUCAUUAAUUCCUUUUCGCUACACAGAUCUUUUGGAUUCGAUUUUGUUGGAAUUGAGAACAUCCACACAAAACCACAGAAUAAAUUUGAUAUCUGAUUUUUCUCCUGAAAUUCGUGAUACUUUAUAUGCUGCUUUGCCUUAUGAACAGUCACUUUCUGAUGUUAUUUCUUUAUUUCAGUAUCUAGUCUUAAGAAUUCAACAUAUAACGAAAAGAAUAAAGGGUCAGCCAUCUUCGUACAAUCCUGAAAGAUAUGGUCCAGCCUUCUACUUUAUACCCAGUGGAGAGAAGCUUAGAGACAUUCCAAUUUAUACCAUGAAUGAAAGUGCACAUUCAAAGAAUUAUGAUGACCUAUCUGAUGAGCAGUGUAAUAAGAUAUAUCCUGAGGUCUCCAGACGUGGUACUACCUACUUAUUUCUUUGGUUUGACCCUAAGCACUAUGGUCAUUGUUAUGGUUUUCAUAUCAUUCCAGGAUCUGAAGGGAGGAAAGACCCUUUCUCUUCUGCCUAUUCAUACUUAUAACAUGCUCCAGAAGAGGUAUUUUCUGAUUUUACAUGUCAGUUUGAGGAGUACUGUUUGAACAGGGAACCUGGUUUCUGGGAGAAUACACGAUUUUGGCACGAUUUAUUUCAUGGUUACAGUCACAAAUGUCCUUUCUGCUACAAGUCCCAGAGAAUUUGUCCAUUGCAGGGCUUGAACACAGAGAUAUGUGAGCAUUUCAACUCAUUCAUCCACAAAAUCAAAUAUUCUGCCAGAUCUAUUUCACCUUCAAUUCAUGAUUCAUCAGUGGUGUGAAAUGAAACGCUCGUCAUUUGAACAGAGCUGCAUAUUUAGCCUGAAUUGACGACAACAAAAAAACAACAUUAGAUACACCUAAUCUGGUAAUUUAUAAAAGUUUGUUUUUUCAUUGAAUUCCGACAAUAUCAAAAUAAUGAGAUUUGGUAUGAUUGCCAAUGCGGCAACUAUCAACCAAAGUCCAAGAGAAGUGGAUGUUAGCAAUUAUAGUCCACCAUAUGGCCUUCAACAAUAAGAAAAAGUACAUUCUAUGGUGUGAACAAAAAGUAUAUAGUAAGGGCAUUUUCAUUCAUGGCAUAUUGGUUUGUUAGCAGUAAGGAUAUACAAAAGGUAAUCUAGAAAAGUAUGUUGUCAUAAUAAAGAAUUAUUUUCAAAUAAAUAUGAGAGAAAAAUUCUCUUUUGUAUAAUAUGCAUCACUGAAGUGUUCAAUUAAAUGGGGAUGAUUACAGGAUGAUUCUUCAAAUAUAAUGUGACAAAGAUCCAUCCGUAUCAAUUUUGAGAUCAGUUUGUUGAAUAAAGGUCAAAAUUUAAAAAAAAAAAAGAUGAUGCUUCCCAAUAAAUUAAGAAUUUCCAAAGUUUUCUGACAGAAAUUUGAAUAUAUAGCAAUAUGGUGUAUCAGUCAAUGAUGGACACCUAACAACACAAAAAAAAACUAAGAGAAAAAAUAAAGUACUGUUAAUCUCUUCAUGAUUGCAUCAUAAUGUUUAAUGAAGAAAAUUGUUCAUGGUUUGACCUAAACCUGUGUUUUGAUGUUGAGUGGCUUAAAUAAUUUUCAUUUUAAAUGUGUACUGGCUCUGUUGUUUGGUCUUUUUUUCAGGUCAGAAGAACCAGAGAAUUAUCAAUGAAUUCUUAAAGGAUGUGGUCAAGAAGACGAAAGAAGCUGUUGUCUGUCAGGAGAUAUUAUGUUUUUAAUUUUGACUGACAAUUUUAUUGUUGUUAUUGUCAUUAAAUGGCACAAAUGAAUUGAAGACUGUAGUUCUAUUUUUUAUUAUUUGUUCAUAUAUUAUGUUGUAUAUAAGAAUAUUUUUAAUUAUUAUUUUUUGAGUCUGCAAAUUUAUGUAUCAGACACGAGACAAAGUAAUCUUACAUUCAUGUGGUCUGUAAAGAAAUGUUUUUUAAAUGGACCUCAUUUUUUCUAUAUUUAACAGAUUAUGUAUCUUGGAGUGUUCUCAUUACCUAACCUGUAACAUGUUGAUAAAUUUGUACUUUAUAAUCCUAUGAAAGAUUUUAUGUCAAAAAAUGUUAUAACCAGUUACCAUUGUCAGGUAUCCACUUUCAGGAAUGCCACUUGCCUAUAAUAUCAAGCUACAAAAUGUUACUAAAUAUCUAGGUUUGAGGUAUAUGCUUAAUCUAAAAUAAGGAAAUGUGGUAUGAUUGCCAAUGAGACAAGUAUCCUAAGAUGGCAACCAAUUCCAAUCUAUGGAAUACAGGCCCUUUAUUUGGGACUUUUAUUACAGAAUGAAUUGGAGUUUUAACGUGGUUGUGAGCGUGAAACCCUUCCCCUAACCUGAAAACAGUAGACUGUGAUAGCACAACAUAACAACUAAACAUUAGUUGAAAUGGUAUGACUCGUUGUAUUGGUACAAAGCCCAAAAACAACUUACAAAUGACAAAAGAGUAGCGAUGUAACAGAUAACAAAGGAACUGAAAGCUUGUUCAAAACAGACAACAUGUAACGAUGAUAUUUUUCAUUAAGCAUUUUCGUCCUAGACUACAGAAUAUCAAAAUACAUAAAUCUAUUUUAUUAGCUCACCGGGGCCCAAAGGGCCCCAUGUGAGCUUAUGCCAUCACUUGGCGUCCGUCGUCGUCUGUCGUCGUUGUCUGUCAUCGUCGUCUGUCGUCGUAAUUUAUUUCAAAAAUCUUCUCCUCUGAAACUACUGGGCCAAAUACCUUCAAACUUUAACUAAAUGUUCCUUAGGGUAUCUAGUUUAUGAAUUAUAUCCGAAGUUUUGAUCCAUCGACAAACAUGGCCGCCAUGGCUAAAAAGAGAACAUAGGGGUCAAAUGCAGUUUUUGGCUUAUAUCUCAAAAACUAAAGCUUUUUGAGCAAAUCUGACAAGGUGCAAAAUUGUUCAAUUGGUCAAGAUCUAUCAGCUCUGAAAUUUUCAGACGAAUCGAACAACCCAUUGUUGGGUUGCCACCACCGAAUUGGUAGUUUUAACAAAAUUUUGCAGUUUUUUGUUAUUAUUUUGAAUAUUAUUAUAAAUAUAUAUAAACUGUAAGCAGCAAUAAUGUUCAGCAAAGUAAGAUCUACAAAAAAGUUAAUAUGACCAUAAUUAUCAAUUGCCCCUUAAGGAGUUAUUGCCCUUUAAAGACAAUUUUACACAAUUUGUUCAUCAAGUUUGCUAACAUUUAAAAAUCUUCUCCUCUGAAAUACAGGUGAGCGAUUCAGGCUCUUGAGAGCCUCUUGUUUAAGUUUGUUGAAUUUAAAUACCUUCUUCAAAACUAUGAUCUAUGAAAUUUAGACAAUAGAUCGCUUCUUCUUGAUAAAGAGGUAGCAAUGUGAGAAAAUCUUUAUUCUUUUUUCAUUUUCUGUAUUUUAUUUAUGAAUAGACUUGGUUUUUUGGUAGGUAAGGUUGUUCUCUUUCAUUGACCACAAUAGCAGCAUGUUGAGUCCGGGGUCCAUUAAGUACAGUUUUUUAAUAACAUAAAGCAUAUUCCGGGUGCGGGAAUUUCUUGCUGCAUUGAAGACCUGUUGGUGACCUUCUGCUGUUGUCUGUUCUAUGGUCGGGUUGUUGUCUCUUUGACACAUUCCCCAUUUCCAUUCUCAAUUUUAUUAUAUAAAUGUUGGGUUUUUAUUUUAUUUAAAAGAAAGUACAAUAAAAAGAACCAAGGUAUGGAAUUUUCUUGAUGUGCAGUUACAUUUGUAAGCCUAUAAAUUGAUGUAUACAUAUUUCAUUCUCCAAUAAAAUUUCUUUAUGCA